This 318-nucleotide ribosomal RNA is filed under the name uncultured Megasphaera sp. RNAcentral's name for it is "bacterial SSU rRNA". It matches the Rfam family "Bacterial small subunit ribosomal RNA", at positions 215 to 525 of the family's 1533-position model. The record is from RNAcentral. Lineage: Bacteria; Bacillati; Bacillota; Negativicutes; Veillonellales; Veillonellaceae.
UCGCCGAAGGAGGGGUUUGCGUCUGAUUAGCUGGUUGGAGGGUAACGGCCCAACAAGGCGAUGAUCAGUAGCCGGUCUGAGAGGACGAACGGCCACAUUGGGACUGAGACACGGCCCAGACUCCUACGGGAGGCAGCAGUGGGGAAUCUUCCGCAAUGGACGAAAGUCUGACGGAGCAACGCCGCGUGAGUGAAGAAGGUCUUCGGAUUGUAAAGCUCUGUUAUACGGGACGAAAAAGACGGAUGCCAACAGUAUCCGUCCGUGACGGUACCGUAAGAGAAAGCCACGGCUAACUACGUGCCAGCAGCCGCGGUAAAU